AGAAUGAACGCUGGCGGCGUGCUUUACACAUGCAAGUCGAGCGAGGCGGCCCGCAAGGGUCAGUCGAGCGGCGAACGGGUGAGUAACGCGUGGAUAACCUGCCCUGAGGUGUGGAACAACCAGGGGAAACUCUGGCUAAUACCGCAUGAUACCGAGAGGUCAAAGGGGGCUCGCAAGAGCUCUCGCCACAGGAGGGGUCCGCGUUCGAUUAGCUAGUUGGUAGGGUAAUGGCCUACCAAGGCGACGAUCGAUAGCCGGCCUGAGAGGGUGAUCGGCCACACUGGAACUGAGACACGGUCCAGACUCCUACGGGAGGCGGCAGUGGGGAAUUUGCGUCAAUGGGCUAACGCCUGACGCAGCAACGCCGCGUGGAGGAUGAAGGUCCUUGGAUUGUAAACUCCUGUCAGCAGGAAAAGCAACCUGACCUCAUACGUCAGAAGUUAGAUUGUACCUGCAGAGAAGCCCCGGAUAACUCUGUCGCCAGUCAGUACCG
Molecule: ribosomal RNA, 493 nt
Filed under: uncultured soil bacterium
Lineage: Bacteria
Description: bacterial SSU rRNA
Rfam family: Bacterial small subunit ribosomal RNA
Source: RNAcentral